UGGCGGCAGGCCUAACACAUGCAAGUCGAGCGGAAACGAGUUAACUGAACCUUCGGGGGACGUUAACGGCGUCGAGCGGCGGACGGGUGAGUAAUGCCUAGGAAAUUGCCCUGAUGUGGGGGAUAACCAUUGGAAACGAUGGCUAAUACCGCAUGAUGCCUACGGGCCAAAGAGGGGGACCUUCGGGCCUCUCGCGUCAGGAUAUGCCUAGGUGGGAUUAGCUAGUUGGUGAGGUAAGGGCUCACCAAGGCGACGAUCCCUAGCUGGUCUGAGAGGAUGAUCAGCCACACUGGAACUGAGACACGGUCCAGACUCCUACGGGAGGCAGCAGUGGGGAAUAUUGCACAAUGGGCGCAAGCCUGAUGCAGCCAUGCCGCGUGUGUGAAGAAGGCCUUCGGGUUGUAAAGCACUUUCAGUCGUGAGGAAGGUUUAUGCGUUAAUAGCGUAUAGAUUUGACGUUAGCGACAGAAGAAGCACCGGCUAA
RNAcentral lists this ribosomal RNA (484 nucleotides) under marine sediment bacterium ISA-2657. RNAcentral describes it as "bacterial SSU rRNA". It matches the Rfam family "Bacterial small subunit ribosomal RNA", at positions 37 to 500 of the family's 1533-position model. The record is from RNAcentral.